AUGCCGCGCUCGACGCCGCUGCGCUCGCCUCAGCUCCACCACAGCUCCGCGCACCCGGUGGCCCCGUGGAAACCUCCUACGGCCCAAGUCCAUGGCCAUGGCCCCGAGCACACAGCGUCCCGCACCUGGCCUCCAUCGUCGUACCACAUGCGCCUUCCGUGUGCCUACUUCGACCUCCACACCAUCCUCCUCCAUCAGCAAGCCACUGCGCGUUCCCGGCGCCGCCCCGUUGCAGCAUCACGCCGCUGGCUCCACGCGACUUGGCCCCGUCCGGCGUCCCGCUCGCCGCCUUCGCUUCGCCCGGCGGCCUCCCGUGCUGUCCGGCUCGCCGUCGCCGCCUCCCCGCCUCCUGGCUGGCUCCGCCCCGCACGCGAGCACCGCCACGCCCUGCUGCCUGCCAUCUUCGCCCGCAACCCGGACGGUCGGCUCCGCCCGCCACCCAGCUGGCCCUACCGCCUGCCGUCUUUGCCUGCAACUCGGACGGCCGGUUCCGCCGCCACACGGCCGCUUGCUGGCCCCGCCCGCAUCUCGGCUGGCCGGCUCCGCCCGCAUCCCGGUAACCCGACACUUUACUUGCUGAGCCCGCAUCCCGGCCGGCCGGCCUCGCCUUGCCUGCCGCCUCCACCUCGCUCGGCCGCCCCGCCGCCUGCCCGCGUGCCGGCUCGCCACCCCGGCUGGUUCCGCCCCCCUAGCCGGCUCCCCUCCUGGGCCGGCUCCGCCUCCCGUCGGCUCGCCUCGCAUCCAGCCGUGCCGCUGCGGCCUCGCCCUGUGCACUCCUCUGCGAGCAAGAGAGAAGGGAGAGAAGAAAGAAAGGUCAAGAGAGAACAAUGCACAAGCCGACUAGAGUUGGACCUAAAAAAAAGAGAUGUCGGGUGCUCGGGGAAAAUAAAAAAAGAAAAGGCCGAGUGCCCGAUCCGGCUGAGAAAAGAGGUCGGUUGCUCAAAAAAGAGGAUUGUUGCCGGUGGAUUGUUGCCGGUGGAGAAAAGUCAGGACGGAUGCCCAGCCGACUGCUCGUGCAGAAGAACCGUCUGGCUACCGACAACCGACAGAAGAAAGAAGAAAGAGGGUGCUGCCAGACGCCUCGCCGCCUGGCCGGCUGUGCCAAGCCGGCUCGGCCGCGUCCCGCUCACCCCCUGA
This 1137-nucleotide ribosomal RNA is filed under the name Triticum aestivum (bread wheat). Its description in RNAcentral is "partial small subunit ribosomal RNA". The record is from RNAcentral. Lineage: Eukaryota; Viridiplantae; Streptophyta; Magnoliopsida; Poales; Poaceae.